GGAGAGGUGGGUGAGUGGCUGAAACUAACAGUUUGCUAAACUGUCGUACUGGGUAACUGGUACCGGGGGUUCGAAUCCCCCCCUCUCCGCAA
Molecule: transfer RNA, 92 nt
Filed under: Bacteroidetes bacterium GWA2_32_17
Lineage: Bacteria; Pseudomonadati; Bacteroidota
Also listed under: 1 other name
Description: tRNA-Ser
Rfam family: tRNA
About the family: Transfer RNA (tRNA) molecules are approximately 80 nucleotides in length. Their secondary structure includes four short double-helical elements and three loops (D, anti-codon, and T loops).
Source: RNAcentral